Molecule: long non-coding RNA, 4845 nt
Filed under: Sus scrofa (pig)
Lineage: Eukaryota; Metazoa; Chordata; Mammalia; Artiodactyla; Suidae
Description: lncRNA (ENSSSCG00025050583.1)
Source: RNAcentral
UGCCCCUACUGAAGGGGCGGCACUGGCACCAGAAUUGGGAGGCACUGAGGGGAUGCAAGUGACCUGGGCAUGGAGGACCCUGCCAAAGCCAUGCUCGAGUGUCGUUUAAAGAGGCCGGAGGUAGAGCAGGUUGAAAGUUCACUGUGAGGUGCAGGAGAGGAGGAAGUUGGAGAUGAAGAGUAAUACUAUAAAUAUUGUAUGAAUAUCAUAAGUAAAGAGAAGGGGGUGGGCGAUGGAGGGGCAUUGUCAGUGGAGGCUUUCUUUUUUUUAAUUGUUAUUUCCCCAACACAAUUUUUUUUUCCCCACUGUACAGCAUGGUGACCCAGUUACACACACAGGUGUACAUUCUAUUUUCUCCCAAUAUCAUGCUCCGUCAUAAGUGACUAGACAUAGUGCCCAGUGCUACACAGCAGGAUCUCAUUGCUAAUCUAUUCCAAAAGCAAUAGUUUUCAUCCAUUAACCCCAAGCUCCCAAUCCAUCCCACUCCCUCCCCCUCCCCCCAGGCAACCUAUUCUCCAAGUCCAUGAUUUUUCUUUCUGUGGAAAGGUUCAUUUGUGCUAUAUAUUAGAUACCAGAUAUAAGUGAUAUCAUAUGGUAUUUGUCUUUCUCUUUCUGACUUACUUCACUCAAGAUGAGAGUCUCUAGUUCCAUCUGUGUUGCUGCAAAUGGCAUUAUGCCAUUCUUUUUUAUGGCUGAGUAGUAUUCCAUUGUGUAUAUAUACCACAUCUUCUUAAUCCAAUCGUCUGUCAAUGGACAUUUGGGUUGAGGCUUUCUUUAGGAAGCAGAAGGUUUUGCCCUCGUUACUGGUCAAGUGGCAGAAGCCCAAGCAGAGAGAAAGGUUGGUGUUUUGAAGGAGAGGGACCCAGGCCCAGAUGGAGGGCAUGGCUUGGGGAAGAACAAGCAUAGAGAAGUGGACAGGUAUGGACGCCCGCUGAGGCUCCCCCACUCCUUACCUCAUUUAUUUACUUAUCCCAGACUCAAGGGAUCGCGUGCUUUGGAUGAGGAAAUUCAAGAUCGGAACAGACUGAGGGACCUGCCCACAUUCCCAGACAGAAAGCGAGCAGGCUGGAACCAGACCCACGUCUGCGGACCCUGGAGCCUGUGUGUGCACUUCCUGCCUGCUGGCUGUGCUGCCGCUACCUCUGCGAGUUGAGGGAGGCGGAAGACAUGAAGGGGACAGGGAAGCGAGGAGGCUUGUUGCUGGGAGAGACAAAGAAGAGCUGGGGAGGGCAGCUCGGGAGCGGCUGGUAUGGGAGAUUUUCCACCGGCAGGCGCCUGGGGAGCCUGGCCAAGGCACUCAAGGCCAGGCUGACCAGGAGCAGGGCUCAGAGCCCAGCCAGGAACAGGGGCCGCACAUGUGGGGCUGGAGGUGAGAGGCCGGGGCACUGCCUGGUCUCUUCUCUCAGUCAGGUCAGGAUGAUGACGUGUGCGAUUCUAAGGAUGCACGUGACUAUGUACCUAGAAGGUGUGUGGGUUUCUGUGUUGGGGGAGCGAGAGUGUGCGUGUGUGGGUGUAUGUGUGAGCGGAUGUGACUGUGUGUAUGUGUGUGACUGAGCACACGGAAGGCGUGUGAAUAUGUGUGCGAGUGAGCCAGGGAUGGCGAGUCCGUGGUGGGGCAGCGUGAGUGUGUGUAAGCUGUGUGGGGUGCAUGCAUGUGCUUGGUAAGUGGGGAGGAACAAGUCAUCACCCCUUUGGCACAUGCACGUAGGAGAGGAAGAUGCCCUGGGAUCUUGUAAGAAAAAGCUCUUAGUCCUGGGGUUGGGGGCAGUGAUAAGGGCUUUCAAAGAAGCACUUCCUGGACGUGAGCAUCACCUUUGUGCCCUCCUGGUGCCCACCUCAGUGUGGGACACUGUGCCUUUAAGGAGGCCUCACCCACAGGGAAGGACCCUCCCGUAGCCCUGCCCCAGGAGUGGAACUGCUGGGAGCCUCAGACCCAAGUUGGGGUACACAGGCCUGACACCAGUCCAGGCCCCAGGUCUCACCUUUUAUAACUCCACUUGGCCAUGACCUUCAAUGCUCAUUCAAACCCCCUGGGAUUUGAUGAUUCCAGCUGUGCUAUGCCCCUUCCUCACACUAGCUUACCCCAUCUGGAGCCAGCUAAUAACAGCGGACUCUUACAAUGAGCCACACAUAGUUCUAAGCAUCACACUCACGUUCACCACCACUCUUAGGAGUGGGUACUACUGUUAUUGCCAGCCCAGUUCUACAGUCGAGGAGACAGAGGCACAGAGGGGUCAAGUAAUUUACCCAAGGUUAGAUAGCGGGAGAGCUGGGAUUUAAACCCAUGCAUUCCAGAAUCGGAGUCCACGUUCUUAUCUAUAUGCUAUGUUGCCUUUCAAAGCAAAAAUCUCACUUGGCUUCACAGAUGUCAAGACAGAUUCCUUCACCAUUCACUGCAUUUUUGAAAGCCACCAUACUUUCAGAGCUUACUAUAGAUACACAGUAAUAUAUAUAUAUCUUAUCUAUAUAUAAGAUGAAUAUAUAUUUAUAUGUACACACACACACACACAUAUAUACACACACACUUACCUUUCAUCUUUUUAGGGCUGCACCCUCAGCAUAUGGAAGUUCCCAGGCUAGGGGUCGAAUCAGAGCUGUAGCUGCCGGUGCAGGAUCCAAGCUGUGUCUUUGACCUACCCCCACAGCUCACGGCAACGCUGGAUCCUUAACCCACAGAAUGAGGUCAGGGAUUGAACCUGCGUCCUCAUGGAUACUAGUUAGAUUUGUCUCUGCUGAGCCACAAUGGAACUCUUGAGAUCUUGCUAUAUAAUGACACUGUUAAAGCCUUUACUCAUCAAACCAAUUUUUAUAAAGUGCCAACUAUGGGCUAGAGAGGGUCCUAGGUGUUGAGAAGACAGUAGUGAACAAAAUACACAAUUUUUCUACCCUAGUUAUAACUGAGUGGGGAUGCACAUGAUAUAUAAUGAAGCCAAUAAAUAUACAAUAUAAUAUUAGAUGGCGAUAAAUGCUAUUUGUCUCACUUGAUACUUACCCUAUCUUUAAGUAUUAGGUAUUAUUAUGCCUAUUAUUUUUAUAGAUGCAGAAACAGAGGCUCAGAGAGAUUAGUAAAUAUAGCUAAAGUCACAAAGUUAGCAAAUUUGAACUUGGUUUUGGAUUCAAAUCCAGGUAUCUUCAGCUCUGAAGCUAAAAUUCUUAGCCAUCAUGUAUUCAGGCCAUUGUCAAAGAAUGAAAAACUACUUUCAUUUACCUUUAUUUCCUCUCUCUUUUCUUCCGUCAACCCUGCUUUGACAAAAAAAGCAAGGGGGGGGGUCCUAGAAUCUGAGGACUGGUGGGACAAUACCCUGGGUCAGCUCCUGAGGUCACCUGGCCAUUCUCCUAUCCUGGGGAGGGGCUAUCCUCCUACUUAGGUAGAAACUGUCUUGUCCCAUUCUGAACGAGAAAGUCAUGCAGAACCGCAUCAAUAAGAGGUCUCUCUGACAUGAGAACUUCUUUUGUUUAUUUUUCGUUCCUCCUCUUGGGCUGACAAAUGCAUUCACGUAAAGACAGAAAAGAGAGCUGAGCCAUUUGUCACAGUAAUAUCUUCCCUUCUGGCCUUCAUAAUGAAUUGUGGAAGUUAAGGUUAAUCAAUCAUUUCCAUAACAGUUUCUAUGGAGGCUUCUUUUUCAAAGGCCCCAAACUGGAUGCUUGGAUGGACUGUUUCCAGGGACCAUACGCGCACACAUGCAAACCCCAGUGCUCCUCGGCUGUGGGAGAGAAUGACAUUGACUAAGCGUCCAUGUCAGGCACCAAGCUGGCUGCUUUGGAUAUGUUCUCCCAUCUUCUCCCAGUGAUGUUCCCACAUCCUGGGAGGUUGGGUUUCCUCCCCUUUACAGGUGACCCUGUGGGGAUGCAACUGGAUGAGGUCCAUCGGGUGUGGGGACAGGACUUUGAUGUGAACCUAAGAUCUGCAGAACUUCCACAUGCACCUUCUGAGUUCUAGUUAGUAUGACAACCCCGCUCCUAAAGAUGCACUCCAUGUCCUUCCCAGACAGAUGUUUACAGGUUCUGUCUCCAGGGUAUACACAUACACGCUGUUCUCUGAAUCGCCAGAUCCUAAUUUUUGGCAUUUGGCUUUGUCUUUACGAAUGGGAAUCUAACAACUCUUCUUAUUGUGCAAGGCAUUCAAAGCACAGAUUCCAUCAGCUCCGAGGCCUCUCAAGAGCCUUCAUACUGCAAAGCUUCCCGGGUUCCCCUCCCCAGGAGGUAGUGAGAAACUCAUAAAGACUUGAAAAAAUUCAGCUAUAUGACAUAUAUUAAUUCAUCAUGAUGCUGCUGCUGUUGAGAGAUGCUAUUGAGUAGUCAUGCUAUAAAACUAGCAAGUGUUUUAAAGACUUGAUGAAAUUAUUUGUGUUUAGCACUUUCAUGACUUGUGCGCAAUAUCGCAGUGGCCAAAGGGGUUGGAAGAGAACUUAGACGUUGUUUCGGUGUAUUUAUUCACGUUCACCUGGGCUAAAUAUUGCCCUUGUAUCCACUCCUGACUGGCACAGGGAGCCAAACGGAUUGUCACCCAUCCCCAGUGAAGGUGGUUUUAAUUCUGAGACAAACGGGAUCACAGUGAAUUUCAAUGAACUGUCCAGACUCUUAUAUUGGAGUUUGCUGGGAUGACUGGUGUGUGGCAUGAGAGGGCUUUGGCCUGACACUUGGCCAUUGUUUCAUUAGGCAAAAAUUCUUGUUGCCAUAGUGCUCGUUGUAACAGUAUAAACUGCAUGUCACAUUAGCUGUACUAAUGAAGAUCGGGAGCAGCCAAGAGACGCCAGCUAGAGCGGACCGCAGGCUUUCUUGGAGCUCACAGUUUUUAAAUCUCCAUCUCUACCACAUCUAGAAUUUAGCCAAAAAAAAAAAAAA